AUUGAACGCUGGCGGCAGGCCUAACACAUGCAAGUCGAACGAGUGGCGGACGGGUGAGUAAUGUCUGGGAAACUGCCCGAUGGAGGGGGAUAACUACUGGAAACGGUAGCUAAUACCGCAUACCAUCGGAGGUGCCCAGAUGGGAUUAGCUAGUAGGUGGGGUAACGGCUCACCUAGGCGAAGAUCCCUAGCUGGUCUGAGAGGAUGACCAGCCACACUGGAACUGGGAAACGGUCCAGACUCCUACGGGAGGAAGCAGUGGGGAACAUUGCACAAUGGGGGAAAGCUGGAUGCAGCCAGGCCGCUGGUAGGAAGAAGGCCUUCGGGUUGUAAAGUACUUUCAGCGGGGAGGCGGUACCCACAGAAGAAGCACCGGCUAACUCCGUGCCAGCAGCCGCGGUAAUAC
This 406-nucleotide ribosomal RNA is filed under the name uncultured bacterium. RNAcentral's name for it is "partial 16S ribosomal RNA". It matches the Rfam family "Bacterial small subunit ribosomal RNA", at positions 29 to 526 of the family's 1533-position model. The record is from RNAcentral.